This 305-nucleotide ribosomal RNA is filed under the name uncultured bacterium. RNAcentral describes it as "bacterial SSU rRNA". It matches the Rfam family "Bacterial small subunit ribosomal RNA", at positions 334 to 636 of the family's 1533-position model. The record is from RNAcentral.
CACUCCUACGGGGGGCAGCAGUGAGGAAUAUUGGUCAAUGGACGAGAGUCUGAACCAGCCAAGUAGCGUGAAGGAUGACUGCCCUAUGGGUUGUAAACUUCUUUUAUAUGGGAAUAAAGUUUUCCACGUGUGGAAUUUUGUAUGUACCAUAUGAAUAAGGAUCGGCUAACUCCGUGCCAGCAGCCGCGGUAAUACGGAGGAUCCGAGCGUUAUCCGGAUUUAUUGGGUUUAAAGGGAGCGUAGGUGGAUUGUUAUGUCAGUUGUGAAAGUUUGCGGCUCAAUCGUAAAAUAGCAGUUUAAACUGG